GAAUGAAGUAAAUAUUAUAAUGUGCACAUAAAUUGAUUUUGAUCUCUAGGUUUAUCCUUUCUGAUGUUUUUCAGCUUUGAUUUGGGGGCAUGAUUCGGCAGCAAAAUG
Rhododendron vialii is the source of this 108-nucleotide small nucleolar RNA. RefSeq annotates it as small nucleolar RNA snoR100. Lineage: Eukaryota; Viridiplantae; Streptophyta; Magnoliopsida; Ericales; Ericaceae. The transcript has a single exon. The record is from RefSeq and is a predicted model, not a curated record.